RNAcentral lists this ribosomal RNA (396 nucleotides) under uncultured bacterium. RNAcentral's name for it is "partial 16S ribosomal RNA". It matches the Rfam family "Bacterial small subunit ribosomal RNA", at positions 523 to 918 of the family's 1533-position model. The record is from RNAcentral.
AUACGUAGGGAGCGAGCGUUGUCCGGAAUUACUGGGUGUAAAGGGUGCGUAGGCGGGACUGCAAGUCAGAUGUGAAAUGCCGGGGCUCAACCCCGGAGCUGCAUUUGAAACUGUGGUUCUUGAGUGAAGUAGAGGUAAGCGGAAUUCCUGGUGUAGCGGGGAAAUGCGUAGAUAUCAGGAGGAACACCGGUGGCGAAGGCGGCUUACUGGGCUUUUACUGACGCUGAGGCUCGAAAGCGUGGGGAGCAAACAGGAUUAGAUACCCUGGUAGUCCACGCUGUAAACGAUGAUUACUAGGUGUGGGGGGACUGACCCCUUCCGUGCCGCAGUUAACACAAUAAGUAAUCCACCUGGGGAGUACGGCCGCAAGGUUGAAACUUAAAGGAAUUGACGGGG